UGUAUUAGGAGUAGUCGAUAUUUGAUUUUUACUCUAGAUAUAUAUGCUAGGAGUAAAAAGGUUCAUGAUGAACUUGGUAUGAUUUGGUUCAUGAACUUGAUGCAUGGUUCGUGACAUUUGGGUAUUAGUGUAUAGGAUUUGAAGAUGAUUUGGUUCAUGAGGUUAAGGUAUAGUUCAUGUGGUUCAUGAGGUUUGGAUGAGGUUUGGUAUGUGAGGUUUGGAUGAGGUUUGGUAUGUGGUUUAUGGUUUGGUUCAUGGGGUUUGGUAUGGUUCAUGGAUUUGGUGUAUGGUUUAUGGAUAUGGUUUAUGGAUAUGGUUUAUAGUUCAUGAACUUGGUUCAUUUGGUUCAUGAACUUGGUUCAUAGAUUUGGUGUAUGGUUUAUGGAUAUGGUUUAUGGAUAUGGUUUAUAGUUCAUGAACUUGGUUCAUUUGGUUCAUGAACUUGGUUCAUAGAUUUGGUGUAUGGUUUAUAGUUCAUGAACUUGGUUCAUGGUUCAUCGGAUAUGGUUCAUGAACUUGAUUUAUGAUCCAUGAACUUGGUGUAUGGUUUAUGAGGUUUGGUUUAUAGUUCAUGAGACUUGGUUCAUGAACUGGGGUAUGGUUCAUGGGAUAUGGUGUAUGGUUCAUGGAGUUUGGUUUAUGGGAUUUAGUAUAUGAACUUGAGUAUGGCUCGUGGUGUUUGGUUCACGAAUUUUGGUUUAUGGCCUUGGUGUAUGGUUCAUGAACUUAGAUAUGAUUCAUGGGAUUUGAUUCAUAAAUUUGGGUAUGGUUUGAGGUGUUUGGUUUACGAACUUGGUUCAUAGUUUAUGGGAUUUGAUUCAUGAGGUUUGGUUUAUUGUUCGUGGUGUUUGGUUCAUGAACUUGGUUUAUGGGAUUUAGUUCAUGAACUUGGGUAUGGUUCGUGAUUGGUUGGAAAAUAUUUUGGAAGUUGGUUGGAAAUUUAAAUGGAAGAUAUUUUGGGAGUUGAUUGGGAAUUCGAAUGGGAGAUAUUUGAGAGUUACUUAGGAUUUGAAUUUUGAAGAUAAUUUUUAAUUGGAUAUUGAAUUUUAGGAUGUGGAUAUGGACCGUCAUU
Molecule: long non-coding RNA, 1072 nt
Filed under: Ananas comosus (pineapple)
Lineage: Eukaryota; Viridiplantae; Streptophyta; Magnoliopsida; Poales; Bromeliaceae
Description: long non-coding RNA (ACOM_LNC033566)
Source: RNAcentral